GCCGGGUUACGGUGCCCAA
RNAcentral lists this small nuclear RNA (19 nucleotides) under Arabidopsis thaliana (thale cress). RNAcentral describes it as "snRNA_06315". The record is from RNAcentral. Lineage: Eukaryota; Viridiplantae; Streptophyta; Magnoliopsida; Brassicales; Brassicaceae.